Molecule: long non-coding RNA, 1172 nt
Organism: Nilaparvata lugens (brown planthopper)
Lineage: Eukaryota; Metazoa; Arthropoda; Insecta; Hemiptera; Delphacidae
Exons: 5
Source: RefSeq, a predicted model, not a curated record
UCUCAGUUGGGUUUUCGUGUUGGUUGAAGCUGAUAUUUCUGCUAGAUUUUUCCAAGAUCCAGCAUUGUGCAAGGAAACGUCUGGUAAGAGACAAGGCAGAGGAUGACGAGAAACGAGAGUGAGAUACAAGAGUCCCAGGUACCUAGGGUGCAACCGGUCUUUAUUAUGCAGUCUAUUAGAAAUAUGCAUAUACUACAAGAACAAGCAUCUCCAAUCUCCAGCUUCCUAGACUAGGAGCUUAGACAAUGUGUGACAGAAAAGACAACAUUCUUUUCUCCCUGUGAUAUGCAUGAUGUGAGUUGGUGCAGGGUUCUGUCUAAUUCAUGCAAGCGCUCUGGAGGGGGCACUCAGCACCUUUCCUUCUCACCUGGUUUUACCACUCUUUGAUGAUGUACUUCAUUCAACUUGUUCAUUACAACUGGAAGCUCCAGUACAGCAUCUGAACCGGUCCAGUAACUAGUCCAGCUGAUCUGCUCUCAACCUACACCACUGCUCAAGUCACCAAUGUCUUCGCAGUUUGUAGCUCUUCUUCUGGUCAUCAUCAACCCUAUCAAGGCAAAACAGAAAUGUUGGGAGACUGAAGUUUCUAAGGAUGAUACUCUCAAGAUUCUGAGAUGAAUAAGAAAGGGAGCAGGAAUGAUUCGUACACAGAAUAAGCGAGCGCCGCUGGAGUAAUACAAGCCAAAGGGAUCUUGCAAAAGGAACGGAGAUUCGUAUAAGAGCCAAUUAAGGGAAUGCUCGCUGCUGCAAGACGAGUCCUUACUUCAACGAAAGGUGAACCCAAUUGAAAAAGGAAAACACAUCAUCAAAGUAGCAGGCUCAGAAGUGUGAAAUGUAAUCUAUAAUUUAUAGCGAAUUCAUUGUUCACGCCAUGUGCCUAUUCAGUACAUCAUUGGAAGUCGUACAUUUCAGAUGUCAGGACAUCACAUAGCACAUGAACUUUCCAGACCUUCUUCGAUGUUCCUCAUGCUACCAAUUGUGACUGGAGUCCAGGAAUCGAAUAGAACUAGUCCUCUAAAAACCUGAAUAAUACUGCUUUGAAACUGGAAUAUCAACACAAUAAUUGAUCAUAUCCCAGGUGUCAGUCAUGCAUGAUGUUUAAUACCAAAUUCACAUUGUAUUCUGUUAUACAAUUUUGGAAAGAAAUAAAUGCUUUUUAUUCAUUCAUAAAC